This is a non-coding RNA of Brassica oleracea var. oleracea, 125 nucleotides long. The record is from Rfam. NCBI's taxonomy places the organism in Eukaryota, Viridiplantae, Streptophyta, Magnoliopsida, Brassicales, Brassicaceae.
UGAAUAUAAGAACCCGUCUCUUAACUUUUAAAUAAAAAAGCUAAGAAUCGGCUCUUAAAUAAGAGUUUUAAAAGACGAUUCUUAAUUUUUUUAGUUAAAAAUUAAAAGACAUAUUCUUAUAUUUC